GGUGUUGCAUGGCUGUCGUCAGCUCGUGUCGUGAGAUGUUGGGUUAAGUCCCGCAACGAGCGCAACCCUCAUCCUUAGUUACCAUCAGGUAAUGCUGGGGACUUUAAGGAAACUGCCAGUGAUAAACUGGAGGAAGGUGGGGAUGAUGUCAAGUCAUCAUGGCCCUUAUGGAGUGGGCUACACACGUGCUACAAUGGUGGCUACAAUGGGCUGCAAAGUCGCGAGGCUAAGCUAAUCCCUUAGAAGCCAUCUCAGUUCGGAUUGUACUCUGCAACUCGAGUGCAUGAAGUUGGAAUCGCUAGUAAUCGUGGAUCAGCACGCCACGGUGAAUACGUUCCCGGGUCUUGUACACAC
RNAcentral lists this ribosomal RNA (354 nucleotides) under uncultured bacterium. Its description in RNAcentral is "bacterial SSU rRNA". It matches the Rfam family "Bacterial small subunit ribosomal RNA", at positions 1037 to 1390 of the family's 1533-position model. The record is from RNAcentral.